Molecule: long non-coding RNA, 2101 nt
Filed under: Durio zibethinus
Lineage: Eukaryota; Viridiplantae; Streptophyta; Magnoliopsida; Malvales; Malvaceae
Description: long non-coding RNA (DZIB_LNC000807)
Source: RNAcentral
GAAGAGUUGGUCAACAAUUUUGUUUUUCAAAGUUAAAAAAUAUAAUGUAAUCAGCUUAAACAUUGGUGAUUGUGACAAUCAUAAAUCUACAUGAUAAAGCAUCAAAUUAGAUGUUGAAAGAUCAUUUACGCAAUUAGAAAGAUAAAGCACCAAAUUAGUUUUUGAAAGAUCAUUUACGCAAAUAAAAAGUGAUUUGGAAUGUCUAAAAGGUUAAUAUGAUAUUAGAGACAUGUACUAAAAUAUAUAUAAAAAAAUUAUCAAUAGCUUCAAAGGUGUGAUUUAAACCACUCUUUUUACAGAAAAUAGAGAGAGAGAGAGAGAGAGAGAGAGAGAACACGCAAUUUAUGCAAUCCACAGACGGUGGCAAUAGCCUAUUGUCCACUAAAUCAAUAGUGAGGUUUGAUGUUGAUUAAUUGAGGAGAUUGAGGCCAAAAUGUUUCUCACCCGUUUACAUCUUUCUAACCAAAAAAGAAGGCGAGUAUAAAAAAAAAAAAAAAUUAUAAAGAGAACAAGAGGUGCACCAUUGAUCCAUGAAAUCUUGAAUAGAGAUUCCAAGAAUUUGAGGAAUAGAAAAUUAGAAUUGAGUCUACAAAUAGACUAAUUUAUUGAUAUUUGUAUGUCUUGUCCUUUCCAAUCCAUCAGAUAAUUUUUUCAUCUUAUUUUUUAUUUAAAUAAUGGACCAUGUUGAUCACCAACAGCACAUUAAUAAUCAAUUUAUUAUAUAAUUUUUUUAAAUUAUAAUCAUAAUUAAAUAUUUAUUCAUAUAAUCAAUUAAAUAAUUAAUUAUUACAUUAUAAUCAAAUUACAAUUAUUAAAUAAUUAACUAAGAAAUUAGAAUAUAAUGAUAUGUUUAUCAAACUAUUUUUCUUUUUCAUUUUUUAUUGAAAAAUAUAACAAGUGUUUAUCAAGAUGGUUAGUGGAAUUUCCAAUGUUUAACAAUUCAUUUCUGAAAAUUGUAGAACUGAAUAAUCAUUUAAAUUAUUGUUAUAUGCCUACAAAAGAAAAUGUAUUGAGUAAUUAAUAAAAUUGAAAAUUAACACACAACACAAUAAUGUUAUCUCUUGUAAAAGAAAAUGUGGAAUUUUCAUAUAUAUUAUUUUAUUAUUAUAUAAAAUAUGUGUUUUUUUUUGCCAACUAAAAUAUGUAUAAAUAUAUUUUUAUUAGAAUAUAUGUAUAUAUAUAUAUAUUUAUUAUAUGAUAGUAUAUCAUCUAUAAUAUUGUAGUAUAAAAUAUAUAAAGUAGAUAAACAUACAAAAGUAAAUCAAAGUUUGAUCCUUGUUCAUUAGAAAAGAAAUUAAAUCUAAGUAAAACCUAAAAAAACUUAAAGGUAUUAAAAAUAUAAAAGUAACACUAACAAAAGAUGGACGCACUUCAUAUACAUGGAAGGUGAGUGUAUUACUUUAAAAGAAAAAAAGAAAAUAAAUAUUAUACUAAUAUUGAUGUUCCUCAUUUUGUCUUAUUUUAUUUAUUUUUAUUUGACUUAUAUGUUUUAAAAUUUUACUAUAGUCUUUUUAUAUUAAAAUUAGUUUUUUACCCAUGCCAAUGCACGAAAUUUUUAUAUUUAUAAUAAUAUUUUAUUUAAUAUGUUAAAAAUCUACUUGCAAUUUUAAUAGGUUCAAAGUUUUAUUUUUAUCACUAAAUAUUUGUAACUUCUCUCUUUUUUAUUUUUAAUUAAAUUUAUAUAUUUAAUGUUAAAAUCUUUGAUUUGAUUUUUAAUUUCAUAAAUUAAAAGUACAAAAUUUCAAAAUAAAAAUAUAAUUUGUCAACAAAAUUUUUAAAUAACUUUUUGAACUCCAUCUUAAUUUAGAAAAAUAUAGUAAUAAAUAUUUAAAAUGUUAAAAUUUUAAUUAAAUUCAUUUCAUAAAUUUGAUUGCUUAAUUGGUAAAAAAAAAAAAAGAAAUUUGCUAUAUAUAUAAAAAAAAGGUUUACAUAAAAUUCAAAUGUAAUAAAUAUUUAUAGAUCCUAGAAAAUUAUAAGAAAAAUUGAGAAUUAAGAUAAAGUGUAACUAAAAUUUAAUAUUGAAGUUAAUCAAAAAAAUAGAAAAAUUUUAAUUUAAAGACAAAAGUAUGAUUUAGGAAGUUAAACCGAGAAAAUUUUUUCA